This 64-nucleotide transfer RNA is filed under the name chicken gut metagenome. It matches the Rfam family "tRNA", at positions 5 to 66 of the family's 71-position model. Rfam says of the family: Transfer RNA (tRNA) molecules are approximately 80 nucleotides in length. Their secondary structure includes four short double-helical elements and three loops (D, anti-codon, and T loops). The record is from RNAcentral.
UGAUAGCUCAGUUGGUAGAGCAGAGGACUGAAAAUCCUCGUGUCGGUGGUUCGAUUCCACCUCA